GUAAGCACCAAAUGGCAUAGCAUCCAAAUUUCUUUUUUCUUUUUAAUUUUAAACAUUAUUUUAUUUGGUCAUUUCCAAACAUUAUUCACUGGAAACAAAGAUCAUAUUCUUUUCCUCCCUCAUCCCCCUCCCACCACCUUUACCUCUCCCAUAGCCGACGCACGAUUCCACUGGUUAUCACAUGUGUUUGUGACUCGAACCCAUUUCCCUGUUGUUGGUAUUUGCAUUAGAGUGUUCAUUUAGAGUCUCUCCUCAGUCAUAUCCCCUCAACCCCUGUAGUCAAGCAGUUGCUUUUCAUCAGUGUUUUUACUCUCACGGUUUAUCUUCUGCUUGUGGAUAGUAUUUUUUAGAUCCCUGCAGAUUGUUCAGGGACAUUGCAUUGACACUAAUGGAGAAGUCCAUCACCUUCGAUUGUACCACAAUGUAUCAGUCUCUGUGUACAAUGUUUUCCUGGUUCUGCUCCUUUCACUCUGCAUCACUUCCUGUAGGUUGUUCCAAUCUCCAUGGAAUUCCUCCACUUUAUUAUUCCUUUUAGCACAAUAGUAUUCCAUCACCAACAUAUACCACAAUUUGUUCAGCCAUUACCCAAUUGAUGGGCAUCCCCUCGUUUUCCAAUUUUUAGCCACCACAAAGAGCGCAGCUAUGAAUAUUCUUGUACAAGUCUUUUUGUCCAUUAUCUCUUUGGGGUACAGACCCAGCAGUGCUAUGGCUGGAUCAAAGGGUAGAUAUUCUUUUAUCGCCCUUUGGGCAUAGUUCCAAAUUGCCCUCCAGAAUGGUUGGAUCAGUUCACAACUCCACCAGCAAUGAAUUAAUGUCCCUACUUUUCCACAUCCCCUCCAGCAUUCAUUACUUUCCUUUGCUAUCAUGUUAGCCAAUCUGCUAGGUGUGAGGUGAUACCUCAGAGUUGUUUUGAUUUGCAUCUCUCUGAUUAUAAGAGAUGUAGAGCACUUUUUCAUGUGCUUAUUAAUAGUUUUGAUUUCUUUGGCUGAGAACUGCCUGUUCAUGUCCCUUGCCCAUUUAUCAAUUGGAGAAUGGCUUGAUUUUUUUUAUCUGAGAACUGCCUAUCCAUGUCCCUUGCCCAUUUAUCAAUUGGAGAAUGGCUUGAUUUUUUUGUACAAUUGAUUUAGCUCUUUAUAAAUAUGAGUAAUUAAACCUUUGUCAGAGGUUUCUAUGAAGAUUUUUUCCCAAUUUGUUGUUUCCCUUCUGAUUUUAGUUACAUUGGUUUUGUUUGUACAAAAACUUUUUAGUUUGAUGUAGUCAAAAUUAUUUAUUUUACAUUUUGUGAUUCUUUCUAUGUCUUGCUUGGUUUUAAAGCCUUUCCCCUCCCAAAGGUCUGACAUGUAUACUAUUCUGUGUUUACCCAAUUUACUUAUGGUUUCCUUCUUUAUGUUUAAGUCACUCACCCAUUUUGAAUUUAUCUUGGUGUAGGGUGUGAGGUGUUGAGGUGUUGAUCUGUUCCUAGUCUCUCCCAUACUGUCUUCCAAUUUUC
RNAcentral lists this long non-coding RNA (1489 nucleotides) under Monodelphis domestica (gray short-tailed opossum). Its description in RNAcentral is "lncRNA (ENSMODG00000028721.2)". The record is from RNAcentral. Lineage: Eukaryota; Metazoa; Chordata; Mammalia; Didelphimorphia; Didelphidae.